ACGCGUGCCCGCCAGAGGGGGUGGUUUGAAGUCUCUGGAGGCUCGGGUGGCCGUGAGGUUCCCCUGUGCUACUGUAUAGAGGCAGAACUAACACAAGCCCCUAGUAUCUGUGCGUGCUGUUGUAUCAGUGACCUCCAAAGAAGGAAAAAAAAGAAUUAAAGUGGCAAAGGAAUCAUACAGAGGAGUCUGAGGAGGGUACUGAAAGCACUCCCCAGAGGCCUUUGCUGACUGCGACAGUGACAUUGUGUGUAUUACAAGCAAAUAUAGUAGUUUGGCUGUAAUCUUAGCUCCUACUGCCCACACAGAUUCAUGAACUGUCUUGUCUUAACCUUGCAUGUUGGCAACUGGGAAGCUUGAAAGAAUAAAUGACAUAAAAAGAAACAAGAAUGCUGACAGAAGACGAAGCAAGAAACAAUAGCUUCACAUUCAGUUCAGGAAGAGUGAGUUGUUUUGUUUUUUUCCUGUUCAUCCUUCUGGUAUGUCAAAAAGGCCUCCUUCACAAAUACAUGGGACUAGACAGAGAGUCAGUGAGUAAAUCCAUCCGUUUUGUACUCUGCUGGCAACGUUGUUUGAAUCGCUGAAGGAGACGGUGUGCUCCUUCCUUGGCCCCAGUGCAGCAGAGCCUUGGAAGGAGUUCUUUUAAAGAGCCUCCAACAGCAUGAGCAAGCAGCUAACAUUUGCCUUUCCAAUCAUGUACGUUCCGAAAGUACAAGGAGAGGAUGAGACAGGACAGGAAGGAGAGGACCUGGAGGAAAGCCUAGAACAAACACCGGAGGAGCGUGUACAAUUGCUGGAGCAGAACAUGGCUGAGCAGAACAGAGAAGGAGGUUUGGUGGACAAUGGAGACUACAAGGUUUGAGUUCCUGUGGCUUGGAGUAUCAUGAACCACAACUAACUGGCUGAAGUAUGAAAAUUGCUGAAGGGCAUUUUCUAUCACACUUUGGGCAGCUGCACAUGAAAUUGAUGGAAAAUUACCUUUCCAAGGAAGAAGAUAAAUAUAUAAAAGCAUUAGAAGUGCACACGCAGUUACAGAAAUUUUGAAGGAAAUGAAGGAGA
Molecule: long non-coding RNA, 1056 nt
Organism: Gallus gallus (chicken)
Lineage: Eukaryota; Metazoa; Chordata; Aves; Galliformes; Phasianidae
Source: Ensembl